This 445-nucleotide ribosomal RNA is filed under the name uncultured bacterium. RNAcentral describes it as "partial 16S ribosomal RNA". It matches the Rfam family "Bacterial small subunit ribosomal RNA", at positions 354 to 796 of the family's 1533-position model. The record is from RNAcentral.
GUAGGGAAUAUUGGGCAAUGGAUGCAAGUCUGACCCAGCCAUCCCGCGUGCCGGAAGAAGGCCCUCAGGGUUGUAAACGGCUUUUGGCGGUGAAGAACCGACAGGAUGCGUCCUGUUUUGACGGUAGCCGUUGAAUAAGCACCGGCUAACUCCGUGCCAGCAGCCGCGGUAAUACGGAGGGUGCGAGCGUUGUCCGGAUUUAUUGGGUUUAAAGGGUGCGUAGGCUGGAAGGUCAGUCAGUGGUGAAAAGCUAUCGCUUAACGAUAGUCUUGCCGCAGAUACUUCCGUUCUUGGAUGAGGAGGAGGCCACUGGAACGGAUGGUGUAGCGGUGAAAUGCAUAGAUAUCAUCCAGAACACCGAUUGCGAAGGCAGGUGGCUGUACCUUAAUCGACGCUGAUGCACGAAAGCAUGGGGAGCAAACAGGAUUAGAAACCCCAGUAGUCC